RNAcentral lists this long non-coding RNA (1488 nucleotides) under Scophthalmus maximus (turbot). RNAcentral describes it as "lncRNA (ENSSMAG00000032218.1)". The record is from RNAcentral. Lineage: Eukaryota; Metazoa; Chordata; Actinopteri; Pleuronectiformes; Scophthalmidae.
GUGGGAUAUAGACCAGUAUUUAUUUUCUUGGAAAGGACCAGAAUUAUGAGAAGAAUAUAGAGUCACACUCCAUAUCAAAAGGUGGCGGUAAUGCACACCUAAACGUUGUUGGCCAACCGCCAUUAAACAUUCAAAGAAGAAGAAGAAGAAGAAGAAGAAGAAGAAGAAGAAGAAGAAGAAGCAGCAGCGUCAGGACAUGCCCGAUGUCUUAAAACCGCUCCCAGAUCAGCCCUGUUGGAGAGUAUUUAUGGGACUGCGGCUGUGCCCCGCUAACGCCAAAAGACCCGCUGAAAUUCAAAGUUAGAGGAGGAGGAGACUUAAAGCUCAUAAACAGUAAGAAGGUUGUUUCUCUUCUCCCGUCAGUUAGUGCCAGCCUGUUUCAAACACUGACGUUUUCAACAGACUUCUUCUCAGCUCAGUAUGGAAGCUGGCGAGGAGAACAGUGGCAACGCCAACUUGAAGAGACAGAGAGCACCUCUGUCAGAUUCUGACGAAAAUGUCCUAUCACCAUCAGGGAUGAAUGAUGGCCAGAAGCGGCGGCGUCUGGAGGCAGCAGGUCAAGAGAACCAAAGCCCCAUACCAUCCAGCUCCGGACGCCUUGCUGAGCUAGGGAUGAAGCCAGAUACACCAAUGGUUCCCUCAGUCUGGUCCAGAGUCCAGCAGCUCACUCAGAUAAGAGAAGGAGCUCCACUGGGCCAGAGGUGCCUGUCAGAUCCUGGGGCUGACAGCCCAACAGCCAUCAUCCUUGACAAGGGCUUCAAAGAGCAUCUCCUUGGUGAGGGAGAAUUCAGUCAGCGAAUGGAGAGGUUUAAAAUGCCAGUCUUCCAGGCUGGCCCCACACUGAGCCCGGCCAGCCUCUGCCCUCGAACCCACUCCAACUUAGUAUCUGGCAUUCAUCAGAAACUCCAAGGAACGACAACGCCCAGCUCCAAGCAGGCCUCUCGCAUGCGCCAGGAACGGGAGCAGGAGUUGAACUUGCUACAUUUCCAACCAAUCAGUGAGAACGCCUGGUUAAAGAGGAGCAGCUCUGAUCCCUCAUUGGCUCAGGUGGGUUUGUGCUUGUGGCAGUUUGCCUGUCAAACUAGUGUUCAUUUUCGUUAACGAACACUAAGACAAAACUAUGAUGAGAUGACACUGACAUCAAACUGUGACCAUAUCAACAGACUAGAUGAAGAAGGAGUUUUAAAAAAAACAACUGCAUUUUUGUUGAUAAAAAGGGAGAUAUAACUGUACAGCUUUUUUUGGCAAACAAUGUCAUGCCUUGUUAAUUUCUGGUGGUUCAGCACGUCAGCAGCAAGACUUGAACACUGGCAACAGCGUUAGACUUGACCCAGUUAUGUAGAUGUAAUAAUUGUUUCUAUAAUGUUUAUUGGGCUUUGUUACACUUUGUUUGAGUUUUUUUUCUACACACCUGUGUGUGUAAACAUUAGCAGGGAAGGACUCCUCCUGGCCCCUCAUCUCCCUCCUCCUGGAUCCCUAGCUCUAGAA